CAGUAGCCACGGUAAUACGUAGGGUGCGAGCGUUAAUCGGAAUUACUGGGCGUAAAGCGUGCGCAGGCGGUUGUGUAAGACAGGUGUGAAAUCCCCGAGCUUAACUUGGGAACUGCAUUUGAAACUGGCAAGCUAGAGUCUUGUAGAGGGGGGUAGAAUCCCAGGUGUAGCGGUGAAAUGCGUAGAGAUCUGGAGGAAUACCGGUGGCGAAGGCGGCCCCCUGGACAAAGACUGACGCUGAGGCACGAAGGCGUGGGGAGCAAACAGGAUUAGAUACCCGCGUAGUCCCUGUCUCUUAUAC
This 301-nucleotide ribosomal RNA is filed under the name uncultured bacterium. RNAcentral describes it as "partial 16S ribosomal RNA". It matches the Rfam family "Bacterial small subunit ribosomal RNA", at positions 509 to 807 of the family's 1533-position model. The record is from RNAcentral.